CGUGGGCUCGGGCGAGCGCCCUCAGUUCAGCUAGUUUUCCCUAGCCCAACAUACGAUCUGCAUAAUGCAAAGACACAUGGGUUAGCUCAGAGAGAAAGAUAAACGCAUAACUCAGUAUGCAGCAAAAGCAAAAUAAGUGGUGCAGAAAAUAAAACCAAAGUCUUGUGCACAACAGACAAGACGCCCAGAAACAGUUAGCAGAAGUAACGUCAAGUGUAAUGACUUAGAAACUGAGGUGAGCUCUAACCUAUGCGAACUUCGAGUUGAUCUUCGAAGAACUCGAAGGAGAUGAGCGUAGUGGUGAGGAAGGUAAUAUUGGCGUCUGCCACGCUCUUCCAGAAGAAGCACAGAUCCUUGUCCAAAGCACCCAUGCUUUUAGGACUUCUUGGCCUCCUGAAGCUUCCCUUGGACUCUUUAUUCCCCUUGUUUACCCAAUACAAGGGGAAGCCGUCGAGCAGUGAGGCGUCCUUGUCGUUUGGGCGCACCUGGACAAACUUGCCUUUCCAAUCUUUGUAGGAUUGCUGGAAGAU
Molecule: long non-coding RNA, 530 nt
Filed under: Phaseolus vulgaris (common bean)
Lineage: Eukaryota; Viridiplantae; Streptophyta; Magnoliopsida; Fabales; Fabaceae
Description: long non-coding RNA (PVUL_LNC002874)
Source: RNAcentral